This is a small nuclear RNA of Chionomys nivalis (European snow vole), 103 nucleotides long. The record is from RefSeq and is a predicted model, not a curated record. NCBI's taxonomy places the organism in Eukaryota, Metazoa, Chordata, Mammalia, Rodentia, Cricetidae.
CUCUUCAUCAGCAACACAUAUAUUAAAAUUGGUACGAUACAGAAGAUUUGCUUGACUUCUGCUCAAAGUUAACACAAAAACUUGUGAAGCAUUACAUAUUUUU